Molecule: long non-coding RNA, 254 nt
Filed under: Gallus gallus (chicken)
Lineage: Eukaryota; Metazoa; Chordata; Aves; Galliformes; Phasianidae
Source: RNAcentral
CCCAUGGUAAUUUUGACCUGCUUCUCCCAAGUCUUUGUGGUGGUAAGCCCAUAUUACCCUCACUGUGCUCUCCGUUAUGCUCUUAUCGUUUGGAUCACAAGUGUGCAGUUCUCUGCUAAAAGCCAGUAUGGUGUGAGUACUGUUUUCCAUGGCAUAUUCCAGGUGGUAAUCCUGUUGUGGGUCUUUUUUCAAUACUCUGUUUUCAUCUGUAUGAUAAUCGUGUACAUUAGAAGCAUUUACAGUUUCUGCACUCC